AGAACGAACGCUGGCGGCAUGCCUAACACAUGCAAGUCGAACGCUUCCGGGGCUUCGGUCGCGGAGGAGUGGCGCACGGGUGAGUAGCGCGUGGGAACCUGCCCUGUUGUGGGGGAUAACCGAGGGAAACUUCGGCUAAUACCGCAUACGCCCCGGGACUUGGUCUUCGGAUUAGGUCUGGGGGGAAAGAUUGAUCGCAGCAGGAGGGGCCCGCGUCGGAUUAGCUGGUUGGUGGGGUAACGGCUCACCAAGGCGAUGAUCCGUAGCUGGUCUGAGAGGAUGAUCAGCCACACUGGGACUGAGACACGGCCCAGACUCCUACGGGAGGCAGCAGUGGGGAAUAUUGGACAAUGGGGGCAACCCUGAUCCAGCAAUGCCGCGUGAGUGAUGAAGGCCUUAGGGUUGUAAAGCUCUUUCGCGCGCGACGAUGAUGACGGUAGCGCGAGAAGAAGCCCCGGCUAACUUCGUGCCAGCAGCCGCGGU
RNAcentral lists this ribosomal RNA (483 nucleotides) under uncultured bacterium. Its description in RNAcentral is "SSU rRNA". It matches the Rfam family "Bacterial small subunit ribosomal RNA", at positions 26 to 521 of the family's 1533-position model. The record is from RNAcentral.